AAGAAUAUAUCACCAGACUUCAUCACUUUGUAUAUUAAAUCUCAAACAUUGACAUCAUGGCAUAUAGCAAAAUACAAAGAAUCAUAUAGCGUGAUUUAGACGGCCAAGUUCAUGACAAUAUUUCAUACUUGAACAUGCAAUACUUUUGCUCAAUAAUAAGAUAUCAUUUCACAUGCCCAGAGCAAUUAUUAUAUGAAAUAAG
Molecule: long non-coding RNA, 202 nt
Filed under: Erythranthe guttata (spotted monkey flower)
Lineage: Eukaryota; Viridiplantae; Streptophyta; Magnoliopsida; Lamiales; Phrymaceae
Description: long non-coding RNA (EGUT_LNC001961)
Source: RNAcentral